This 215-nucleotide long non-coding RNA is filed under the name Nicotiana benthamiana. RNAcentral's name for it is "long non-coding RNA (NBEN_LNC000650)". The record is from RNAcentral. Lineage: Eukaryota; Viridiplantae; Streptophyta; Magnoliopsida; Solanales; Solanaceae.
UUCUGGGUGUAAUGCGUUAGGGGAAAUGGUUGAGGGAGAAACUUCCAGAGAGUAUAAUUUGAUUGUUCGAAGACUAGCAAUGAAUUAAGUGUAGGGUAUUGAUAAUAGGCGAAAUCGAUAUAAUUUGGUGAAUGUUUAUGCUCCCACUUGACUAUAUUCCAAUGUCAUAAUAUGAUUAAUUGAUUAAAAAUAGGCUCUAAUUAUGAAUUGUAUAC